AAAGUGAAAGCUAUAAUAGCAUCUAUUUGUUAAGUAGACUUAUGUUCUCUAGAACUCACUUUA
This 63-nucleotide transfer RNA is filed under the name Diopatra cuprea. RNAcentral describes it as "tRNA-Asn". Lineage: Eukaryota; Metazoa; Annelida; Polychaeta; Eunicida; Onuphidae. The record is from RNAcentral.